GAGGAGGUAGUAAGACAACAGGUUUAUCUGGAGGAGGUAGUAAGACAACAGGUUUAUCUGGAGGAGGUAGUAAGACAACAGGUAUAUCUGGAGGAGGUAGUAAGACAACAGGUAUAUCUGGAGGAGGUAGUAAGACAACAGGUAUAUCUGGAGGAGGUAGUAAGACAACAGGUUUAUCUGGAGGAGGUAGUAAGACAACAGGUUUAUCUGGAGGAGGUAGUAAGACAACAGGUUUAUCUGGAGGAGGUAGUAAGACAACAGGUUUAUCUGGAGGAGGUAGUAAGACAACAGGUUUAUCUGGAGGAGGUAGUAAAACAACAGGUUUAUCUGGAGGAGGUAGUAAGACAACAGGUUUAUCUGGAGGAGGUAGUAAGACAACAGGUUUAUCUGGAGGAGGUAGUAAGACAACAGGUUUAUCUGGAGGAGGUAGUAAGACAACAGGUAUAUCUGG
Long non-coding RNA from Oncorhynchus keta (chum salmon), 451 nucleotides. RefSeq lists it as uncharacterized. The record is from RefSeq and is a predicted model, not a curated record. Lineage: Eukaryota; Metazoa; Chordata; Actinopteri; Salmoniformes; Salmonidae. The transcript has 3 exons.